GAUGAACGCUGGCGGCGUGCCUAAUACAUGCAAGUCGAGCGAACGGACGAGAAGCUUGCUUCUCUGAUGUUAGCGGCGGACGGGUGAGUAACACGUGGAUAACCUACCUAUAAGACUGGGAUAACUUCGGGAAACCGGAUCUAAUACCGGAUAAUAUUUUGAACCUCAUGGUUCAAAAGUGAAAGACGUUCUUGCUGUCACUUAUAGAUGGAUCCGCGCUGCAUUAGCUAGUUGGUAAGGUAACGGCUUACCAAGGCAACGAUGCAUAGCCGACCUGAGAGGGUGAUCGGCCACACUGGAACUGAGACACGGUCCAGACUCCUACGGGAGGCAGCAGUAGGGAAUCUUCCGCAAUGGGCGAAAGCCUGACGGAGCAACGCCGCGUGAGUGAUGAAGGUCUUCGGAUCGUAAAACUCUGUUAUUAGGGAAGAACAUAUGUGUAAGUAACUGUGCACAUCUUGACGGUACCUAAUCAGAAAGCCACGGCUAACUACGUG
RNAcentral lists this ribosomal RNA (497 nucleotides) under uncultured bacterium. RNAcentral describes it as "partial 16S ribosomal RNA". It matches the Rfam family "Bacterial small subunit ribosomal RNA", at positions 28 to 507 of the family's 1533-position model. The record is from RNAcentral.